CAAGUACUCCCUCUGUCCGGAAUUACUUGUCAUCAAAAUGGAUGUGUCUAGAACUAAAAUACAUCUAGAUACAUCCAUUUCAAUGACAAGUAUUUUCGGACGGAGGGAGUACAAG
Molecule: non-coding RNA, 115 nt
Organism: Triticum aestivum (bread wheat)
Lineage: Eukaryota; Viridiplantae; Streptophyta; Magnoliopsida; Poales; Poaceae
Source: Rfam